RNAcentral lists this ribosomal RNA (504 nucleotides) under uncultured archaeon. RNAcentral describes it as "bacterial SSU rRNA". It matches the Rfam family "Archaeal small subunit ribosomal RNA", at positions 352 to 859 of the family's 1478-position model. The record is from RNAcentral.
ACAAUGCGCGAAGGCGUGAUGGGGUUAGCCCGAGUGCUAUCCGAAAAGGAUGGCUUUUCCUUGGCGUAAAAACCCAGGGGAAUAAAGGGGGGGCAAGACUGGUGUCAGCCGCCGCGGUAAUACCAGCUCCCUGAGUGGUAAGGACGAUUAUUUGGCUUAAAGCGUCCGUAGCCGGCUUAGUGAGUCUUUGUUAAAUCCAAUGAUUCAAUCAUUGAACUGCAAGAGAUACUGCUAUGCUAGAGGACGGGAGAGGUCGACGGUAGUCCAGGGGUAGGGGUGAAAUCCUAUAAUCCUUGGAGGACCACCAGUGGCGAAGGCGGUCGACUAGAACGUGCCUGACGGUGAGGGACGAAAGCUGGGGGAGCGAACCGGAUUAGAUACCCGGGUAGUCCCAGCUGUAAACGAUGCGGGCUAGGUGUAGGGGCAGCUACGAGCUGCUCCUGUGCCGCAGAGAAAUUGUUAAGCCCGCCGCCUGGGGAGUACGAUCGCAAGAUUGAAACUUAA